Equus asinus (donkey) is the source of this 1724-nucleotide long non-coding RNA. The record is from Ensembl. Lineage: Eukaryota; Metazoa; Chordata; Mammalia; Perissodactyla; Equidae.
GCAGAGCCUUCGGAGAGCUGGGUUGGGCUAAGUGAGCACAACAGCGAGUGAGAGGCAGUACGGCUCUCCUUACGUAAGUUCCUGCAGCUACGAGGACCACGGAUGCUGGUUUGCCCAGGAGAGCCCUAGUGUAUGCUUGGUUUUCCAAGCAUAACUUUUACGUGUAGGCUUCUCAUCUCUCAGUUACCCAGCAAAAACACAAGUGACUCAUGACCAGGAGAGCCGUUGAGGAUAAUCCCAAUUCCAGCCAAGCUCUCCUAAAUCUCAAGACAAAGGAAGGGGAUCGAGGCAAUUUACACACCAAAAGGAACUUUCACGAUCCUGCUCAGAGGAUUCUGGGGGCAAAGUCUCGAGCAGGUAAGAGGAGAAGGAGACCAGCGCAGACUGAGAACCAUGCGGGGCGCAGACCGACCUAAGGAAGGAUUCUAAACUCAUGUUCUGGCUGUUGUUGCUGCAGAACAAAUCACCCCUAAAUUUACUGACUUCAAACAGCAGCGGUUGUUUUCCUAGCUCUCCCUGUUUCUGUGGGUCAGGAGUUUGGGGAGAGGGGGCUGGGCACUUGUGGCCUGGGGUCUCUUAUAGCUGCCGUCAACUGGCGAGAGCUGGAACAGCGGGGCAUCUGGUCUCACUUGCUCCAUGCGGUCACAGGGCCUCUCUUCCUGGGGUGGUUUCAGGUGGCCCCUAGCACGGUGGCCUUAGGAUAAUCAGACUGCUUACACGGUAGCGGAAGUCUUCACAGACGCAUGCGCUGGCGACUGAGCCUUGGAAGUCACACAGUGUUACUUCUGUCCCAACUCUGCCCCCUGUCAAGGAAAGAGGACAUGAAGCUCACCUCUCAAUGAGAGGAGCGUCAAAGUCACUUUCUAAGAAGAUCUCAUGGAAUGGGCAAUAUUGUUUUGCCCAUUUUGGGAAAAUAUAAUUGUGACACCUAGUUUGGGUUCUUUCACCUUACUUCCUUCCAGAAGUCUUGUUGGAAGGCUCAAGACCACAUUUUUGUUUAUUAGUUAACUUUAAUCAUUUUUGUGUUGAGGAUCCUUCCGCUCAUGGAGCAUCUUACCCAGCUCCCCUUCCUGAUACGUGGUGAUGUGUGUCAAGGGUUUGCCCCAGGUCCGAAGGGUUUAGAGGAUGGAGAUUGCAGGUUGUAAUUCCUCAGAGAGAAACUGGACAGUAUAUGGACAAACAGUUCCUUUUCAGCUGUUCAAAAAAGUUCUCCGUAUGACCAGUGAUGUAUUAGUUUUUUAUUGCUGGGUAACAAAUUACCACAAGUUUAGCAGCUUAAAGUAACAUAUAGUUAUCCCACAGUUUCUGUGCGUCGGGAGAAUAACGUGCUUUAGCCAGGUCCUCUACUCACAGUGUCACAAGGCAGAAAUCCAAGUGUCAGCUGGGUUUGUCCUUAUCUGGGGGGUCAACUAUGGAAAAGUCCAUCUCCAAGCUCCCUCAGGUUGUUGGUAAAGUUCAUUUCCUUGUGGUUGUAUGACUGAGGUCCUCAUUUUCUUGCUAGCUGUUAGCCGGGGAUGCUCUCAGGUCCUUGCCGUGGGGCCUUCUCCACAGGCCCUGUAAACACGGCAGCCUACAUCUUCAAGGCCAGCAACAAAUCUCUUCAUGCUUCAUAUCUCUGGCUUUAGGACAGGCCCUGUCCCUUUUAAGGACUCACCUAAUUAGGCCAGGCCCAUCCAGGAUAAUCUCCAUUUUGAUUACUUCAGAGUCAACUGAUCUGGAACCUU